Long non-coding RNA from Macadamia integrifolia, 2673 nucleotides. RefSeq lists it as uncharacterized. The transcript has 2 exons. NCBI's taxonomy places the organism in Eukaryota, Viridiplantae, Streptophyta, Magnoliopsida, Proteales, Proteaceae. The record is from RefSeq and is a predicted model, not a curated record.
GAAUGAUUUUUUUUUAUUAUUAUUAUUAUUUUUUUUUGACAAUGUCUGCCGUUAAACCCUGUAGAUCACCCCAUGUGAGUGAUGAAGAGAGGUCCACGAUUUGGGUUAUUCCAUGCUUGGAAGAAGAAACAGAAAAAGAAAUAAAUAUAGUGAUAAUUUGAUUCUUUGUCGUCGCAGUAAAUAGGAGGAAAAAAUGGAAUGUCUUUCCUUGUCUUCCAAAUCAUUUCUAUUUUGUAAAUUUUGAAAACUAAAUUUAAUUUACAUUCAUGUUAUAUGAUUUGCUGCUGGGAUUACUGUAUUUUUGUUUAAGUUUCAAGUCACUGUAAAUUCUUUGUUGGUGGAGACUGGAGAGGGUAUAAUCAAGGAUUUUAAUUGGGAGUGUAAUAAACUAAUAUUUCCAUGAAAUUAUGAUAGAAAUAACGAAUCCAGCUCUUAUUUUUCCUCUUCUGUUCCUUCUUUUUUUCCAAUUUAGGAUAAGAUUGAGGAGAAGAGAGUUGAUGUUAGAUGAGGGAGAAGAGGAGAAGUCCAAUACUUUGUGAAGAGUGUGGUGCGAGCUUAAGAAACCCCCACAUGUGAAGCAUAUGCAAAGACAUUUGCUUGAGGUAUUCUCUGCUACUGCCACUUACCUUACUAAAUCCCUUGCUUUCAUCUUUUCUGUUUCUAUUUUAUUUAAUUUUUCUGUGUAAGUUUUAGCUUCUUAACCCAAUUUGAAAUUCCUGAUAAAUGACUUGAUGAUGUGCUCAGCUUCAAGAGAUUGAACCUUUCUGGCUCGGAAUGGCUAAUCACCGAGUCUGUUUCGAUGUUCUUUUCUUUAACCCUGUUUUCCUUUGUGGGUUUCGAUCGUUGGCGCUUGGUAGUGACAGAUCAAUGCCAGGCUUUGUUUAAUUCUAUGGUGUUAGAUUUUUUAUGAAUCUUUCGGUUAUAUUCUACCUUUUAACUGCCAAUGAUUUAUUGAAGAGUGAAUUUGGUCCCUUUGAAGUAGAAGGAAAUAGUUUUGAAUUUUGUGGAGUGGUAGUUUAGUUGAGGGUAGAGGGCAGACCUUGGCGCAACAGUAAGGUUGCUCCAUUGCUGAGUGGUCGCAGGUUCGAGUUAGGAAACAGUCUCUCUGCAAAGUGGAGGUAAGGCUGUGUACAUUAUGACCCUCCCAAAUUCUGCAUUGGCGGAAGCCUCGUGCACUGAUAACACCUUUUUUGGUUGUUUAGUUGAAGUAAUGCUUGGAUUCUUCUUUUACUUUUAUAGUUGUGUGGUGCAACAUAUUAAAACCAGGUUUGGGGGAGAUAUGCCUUGUUGCUGCGCAUUAUUUACUAAUGCAGUCUAUGUGAUGGAAUGAUCUACUCAAGCGUCUUGCGUUUUUAUAUGACCAAUUCAAUUGAAAAAAAAGUAACCUAAAAGCUGUCUAGCUCAGACAUGGCCAUGAGGUUUGAAGUUUUUCAAAUGAAAUUGAUUGGCAAGUUGAACAAGGUUGUAUAUAUUCCAUAACUGCGUGCUUGGUAGAACAACAGUACUGUUUGAGUAGAAGUAGUUUUGGCAAUAGGACUUGUUAUUUAUUUGUUUGUUUUUGGAAAUCCUGUUGCUUUCUCUAAGCAUUGAGCUGGUAUUUUGGUGUCCAUAUAGAUUUAAGGAGUUUCAAUCUUGCAGGGUUUAGGUCUCUCUCUUCCCCACCCCUCUCUUUUUUCUCUUAAUACAUUUUCUAGUGAUUAAGAUAUUGCGGAAACUAGUGGAUGGAUACAGUGUGAAGCAUUGGUCCCAUUUGAAGAACUCCAAAAUGCAAGAGGUUUUGUAGACUUAAUCUUGAAUGGACCAGUACCAGGUGGGGGGGACCUCCUGAGAAGAGAAGAUAUCUCCAUCAAGCAAGCCUCAGUCAUGCACAGUCUCACUUGUAAUGAUUUUAAGAUUUGUUCAUUUGUUCUGCAAAGGAUGUUUACUAACCGACUAGAUGGCUGCCCAUCAUUCUACAGGAGAAAUGAUCACUUGACCCAUCACCUGCUCCAGCACCAAGGGAAGAGUUUUCAAUUGUCUUGUAGAUAAAUGCACUCGUAGGUCUGCAUUUCAAGGUAACAUGAAGUGACAUGUGAGGGAGAUUCAUGAUGAACAAGAGUCUUCCUCCUGUGAUACCGGGGGUCGAAAGAAACAGGUUUUCAAGGACUGUGGAAAGGUGUUUGAAUUUGCAUCAAAGCUGUGGAAACAUGAGGAUUCCCAUGAAAUCAAAUUUAAAUCAAGACAUAAAGGCAGCACAACUUGAGGUCAGACCAUUUGCCUGCUGAAUACAUUACAUGGUUACUCUCUGGAGUAUGUUAUGAGAUAUGCAAUUGUUGUUUAAUAGGAAAUUGUAUGCUGUAGAAUGGCUAGUAAUUUGAGCAAUCUUGAUGCACAGUGCGGCUGUUGCUCCUUUUUUACGAAAGCAGGUGGCUUUACAGUAGUAGUUGCAGCUUAGUUAGAGAUGGUGGUACCCUUUAAGGUUCUAACAAUUGAUAAAUCAGUUGGUAGAGUUGGAUUCUGAUGCAGGUAACAUGUGCUCAUAAUCUUGAUAACUCUUCUAGCUGUUUCAGUUCUAUACUGUGGCAGUAUAUAUUGAUGCCUAAACUUUGAAGACAUGUCCAUAUCACAUUCUUGUUGAUUUUUAGACUAAUCAGUCAUUACCAUGUAUUGAAAUAUGUUUUGAAAUUCAUUUUA